Molecule: ribosomal RNA, 485 nt
Filed under: uncultured bacterium
Lineage: Bacteria
Description: partial 16S ribosomal RNA
Rfam family: Bacterial small subunit ribosomal RNA
Source: RNAcentral
GAUGAACGCUAGCGAUAGGCUUAACACAUGCAAGUCGAGGGGCAGCGAGGGUAGCACUGCCUGUCGGCGACCGGCGCACGGGUGAGUAACGCGUAUGUAACCUGCCCGCAACAGGGGGAUAACCCGGCGAAAGUCGGACUAAUACCGCAUAAAACAGGGGUCCCGCAUGGGAAUAUUUGUUAAAGAUUUAUCGGUUGCGGAUGGGCAUGCGUACCAUUAGGUAGUUGGUGAGGUAACGGCUCACCAAGCCUUCGAUGGUUAGGGGUUCUGAGAGGAAGGUCCCCCACACUGGUACUGAGACACGGACCAGACUCCUACGGGAGGCAGCAGUGAGGAAUAUUGGUCAAUGGGCGAGAGCCUGAACCAGCCAAGUCGCGUGAAGGAUGACUGCCCUAUGGGUUGUAAACUUCUUUUACAAGGGAAUAAAAUGAGAUACGUGUAUUUUAUUGCAUGUACCUUGGGAAUAAGCAUCGGCUAACUCCGUG